GUGGACCAUCAGCUAGUUGGUAGGGUAACGGCCUACCAAGGCGAGGACGGAUAGGGGGCCUGAGAGGGUGACCCCCACACGGGCACUGAGACACGGGCCCGACUCCUACGGGAGGCAGCAGUAAGGGAUAUUGCGACAAUGGGCGAAAGCCUGACGCAGCAACGCCGCGUGGAGGAUGAAGGCCUUCGGGUUGUAAACUCCUUUUCUGUGGGAAGAGGAAGGACGGCACCACAGGAAGAAGUCUCGGCUAACUACGUGCCAGCAGCCGCGGUACAACGUAGGAGGCGAGCGUUAUCCGGAUUUACUGGGUGUAAAGCGCGUGCAGGCGGUCUGGUAAGUCGAGCGUGAAAGCUCCCGGGUCAACCGGGAGAGGACGUGCGAAACUGCGAGGCUAGAGACAGGUAGAGGCGUACGGAAUUCCGGGUGUACGUGGUGAAAUGCGUAGAUCUCCGGAGGAACACCAGUGGCGAAGGCGGUACGCUGGGCCUGGUCUGACGCUAAGACGCGAAAGCAUGGGGAGCGAACGGGAUUAGAAACCCCGGUAGUCCAUGCCGUAAACGAUGCUAACUAGGUGUUGCAGGGUAAAAGAACCGGCAGUGCCGGAGUUAACGCAGAUAAGUUAGCCACACUGGGGACUACGGUCGCAAGGCUAAAACUCAAAGGAAUUGACGGGGGCCCGCACAAGCAGCGGAGCAGUGUGGUUUAAUUCAGAGGCAUACACAGAAGAACACUUACACUGGGCUUGACAUGACAGGUGGUUAGGGAACACGAAAGGGGACCGACCUUCGGGAGCCGUCACAGGUGCUGCAUGGCUGUCGUCAGCUCGUGUCGUGAGAUGUUCGGUUAAGUCCGGUAACGAGCGCAACCCUCAUCGCUAGUUACAAGUGUCUAGCGAGACUGCCCGUUCAACGCGGGGGGGAGGCGGGGAUGACGUCAAGUCAGCAUGGCCUUUAUGUCCAGGGCUACACACACGCUACAAUGGCCGGUACAAUGGGUCGCCAACCCGCGAGGGGGAGCCAAUCCACCAAAGCCGGUCACAGUUCGAAUUGCAGGCUCAACCCGCCUGCAUGAAGUCGGAGUUGCUAGUAACCGCAGGUCAGCUAUACUGCGGUGAAUACGUUCCCGG
Molecule: ribosomal RNA, 1126 nt
Filed under: uncultured organism
Description: bacterial SSU rRNA
Rfam family: Bacterial small subunit ribosomal RNA
Source: RNAcentral